CAGUGAAAGGGGUCCACAGGAGAGCGUCAUGAUUCACAACCCACCGUUCCGUGGGUAGGUGAAAAGUAGUAUAAGAAAUAAAUAAAUAACAGCAGCUGCAGGGUUGGGAUUCAGGUUUGGUUCCAUGCUGAGAUAGGGAGCUCGUUUCCUCACGAGUCCAGCAGGGGCAGCACAGAGCAGAGAAGAGAAGCUGAUCCUGCCACCUCCAAGAUGGCCGCCGCCAGCAGAGUUUAAGGUGCUCCUCCAAGGGCCUUCACAGCUAUGCUAUCAGGGGUCUAGAGCUCCACCUGUCCCCCCAGCGUUAUCAGCCUGCCCCCCUCAGCGAUAUAUCGUUGCCAGCGGGCUGCUCUGAGCGGUGCAGCGCCUAUGUUCCUCCCGACGCCACAUCCAAUAUGGCCGCCGCCACCGGACCUCUGCCGCUCGGCUUAGCCCCGGCCCUGCAACUCCAGGGGCACUUGUAUUCUUCUCGGCUCCCCUUCCGGGUCUCCCCAGAGUGUAUCUGAUUUGGAAAACCAAAUGCGGUGAUGCUUACCAAGCCUUUCGGUGACUCUUGUCGGCAGCUGCUGUGAAUCCAGGGCCUCCAAAAUAAUACAGGGGGUCUGCAAAUAAUUUUAAAAUGGAAAAGUGAAGCGUUUGCCUUUCUCCCAGAUUCAGGAGCAAAUCUGAAUCCCUACAAGCUUUAACCAGGAGAUCAGGAGUAUCUGGAAAGACAUGUGAAAAAGUCAUUUGAGCCCAGAUUUGAUGGUCCAUAUAGAGUGUUGCUGACCACGCCCACUUCUGUGUCAAUUAAGGAAAGAGAGACUUGGGUUCCACUGCAAUUUUGCUCAAGUUAAGUUUGAACAAUGAAAUACACAAACAUGCAGAGGCUAAUUGGGCCUAAACUAGACAGACCACUAUGGGUCAUUAUAUUGGGAACUUCAGUAGUCAUUGUUGUCAUAAUAUGCUCUAUAUCUCUCAUAGGAGAGGACAGGGACUGGCAUGUCCGCCAAUCCAAAGUUACGUACCGGUGUUCAGUAUAUAAGUAUAUAUUUUUUAUAUAUGUAGUAUGUGCUUCUUAUAUACUGUAUAUGUAUAUAAGCAGUGUGUUUUCACACUAGAGUUUGUGAUAAGUCAAGUUAAAGUAAAGAUCAUGAAAUCUCUAGAAGUUCAAAGAUACCAGUUAAUUAAGAAAUACUGGGCUCACACGGGCCCACAUCUGGAAAAGGAGGGGAAUGGACAUCUGUCCCCACUACAUAUAAGUGUAUAAUAGGUUUUAAUUUUUUUAAAGCAAAUACAUACUACUAAAAUAGUAUAAUAUUUUUUAGAAUAUGUAUGAAAAGAACUCAAGAAUGUGUUGUAUAUUAUUACUAAUGAAACAAAUAGUGUGCAAGAAGUGGUUUAGAGAAAUGUUCUGCUCAAACCCAGCUAAUUGAUUUAGCGGGAUCAAAGAGUAUAUUGUUUGAAUAGUGAUGUUUUUAUUAAAAAAUUUUGGCUUAGCAAUUUGCAUAUAUCUGUAUUUUAAGAUGCUAUUUUGUUUCCUUUCCUUUCAGCUUGAAAGAAAUCUGUAAACUCAAAGAUGUGAAUCCUCCGAGUGUUAACAAAACUACAGAAGAGCUUGGCAAGAAAGAGCCGUGAACAGUCUACCUUAAUGGAUAUGAUGUGAACGGUUCUUUACCUUCCGUGGGAUAGAGUGACAAGCACGAUCCUACGGGAACAUAGCCUUUAGCACCAUUAUAGCUAGACUGUUUGCUUAGUCUUUCUAGGCAGAGUUUAUGUGAUGCCUUCUAGCUCAACUGUAAUGUCAUCUUGUUAUCAGCGGUAAUGUCAUUUUAUUAUGAAAGGAGGGACUGAGGAAGAUAGAUGUAUAUAGCUUAAGCAUGUCAGCCAUUUUGUUAAGUAGCAUCCAUGUUAUAGUGAAGUAGAAGUAUGCUUUUCUGAGUUAAUCAUAAUAAUGCUGACAUUUCAUAGUUAGUACAUUCUGUGCGAAGCAAGGUCGUAGCUAUAGUCUUGAAAAACAUGUUAUUAGACAGUCUCUGUGUGUUUAGACUUCUCCUGAAGGACAUGAAGUGGGGUGACAGCCUGAGAGGAGUUAUGAGAAGAGAUGCAUUAUUAUUUUGAAAUAUGACGUGUAUCAAGUGUUCAUGCAAGUAGCUUUUUCUCUAUAUAAUGUUAUGCUAAAUAAAGUGAAGGCAGUCUCAUUUUGCUGGACAUAA
Molecule: long non-coding RNA, 2192 nt
Organism: Pseudophryne corroboree (corroboree frog)
Lineage: Eukaryota; Metazoa; Chordata; Amphibia; Anura; Myobatrachidae
Exons: 3
Source: RefSeq, a predicted model, not a curated record